RNAcentral lists this non-coding RNA (22 nucleotides) under Arabidopsis thaliana (thale cress). Lineage: Eukaryota; Viridiplantae; Streptophyta; Magnoliopsida; Brassicales; Brassicaceae. The record is from RNAcentral.
AGAGCUAUGUGUUUCAUGCGUG